CAGGAUUCGUGUCUGACUUGCCAACGCCACAUGUUGGGAGUGAGAACACAAAACAGUGGUAACCAUUAUAAAGACACAACUGAGCGUGUCUUCUAGACUGCUCCUUUUACAAACCAGAACACAAGAGGAGGAGUCUGGCAGAUGAGAAUGACAGAGAGACCAGCUGUAUGUUUCCUCCUCUCUUACACUGCCGGCCAAAUUGCCCUCCAUCCCCCUCCUAAAACCCACAGCCCAUCUCUCAGCAUCCUAACACCUCCACAAUGCUGGACAUUUUCAUUUUGAUGUUUUUUGCUAUUAUCGGUCUGGUUUUGCUUUCCUACAUCAUCUACAUCUUAUAAGAGGCUACGAUGGGCCUAGGAAUUGCUCAUCACUUGUUUGCAGUUUUUCCAGUUAUGAAAAUUUCCAGUUUGAAGUGCACACUGAAGCUAGGAAUUCUGGGAUGCCAUGUGCAUAAUUAUUGGGCAGGUGGCCUUCCUGGAUGGAAAAUGUAAAGCUGAGUUUAAUUUCGUCCUUCGUUGUUCCUGGGUUGACAUUUGGUUUCCUCUUCAUGUACAUCUGUUCCUGUUUCUCUGAACUGUUGUCCUCAGCAUGCAGCUGCAACAUUAACAAGGAUAUGGGAGGGUCUUUUGGGGGGUUUUGUAUUUCUCCAUCUCCUCUCAUUGGUUGUUUUUCCUUUAUAUUGUUAACUAUUUCUUUGCUGCUGUGUGGUGUCAGUAAAGACGGUUAAGCAAA
Pelobates fuscus (common spadefoot toad) is the source of this 732-nucleotide long non-coding RNA. RefSeq lists it as uncharacterized. NCBI's taxonomy places the organism in Eukaryota, Metazoa, Chordata, Amphibia, Anura, Pelobatidae. The transcript has 4 exons. The record is from RefSeq and is a predicted model, not a curated record.